This 481-nucleotide ribosomal RNA is filed under the name uncultured bacterium. RNAcentral describes it as "partial 16S ribosomal RNA". It matches the Rfam family "Bacterial small subunit ribosomal RNA", at positions 28 to 507 of the family's 1533-position model. The record is from RNAcentral.
GAUGAACGCUGGCGGCGUGCUUAACACAUGCAAGUCGAACGAAGCAUUUGCGACAGAUUUUUUCGGAAUGAAGUUGCUUAUGACUGAGUGGCGGACGGGUGAGUAACGCGUGGGUAACCUGCCUUGUACUGGGGGAUAGCAGCUGGAAACGGCUGGUAAUACCGCAUAAGCGCACAAUGUUGCAUGACAUGGUGUGAAAAACUCCGGUGGUAUAAGGUGGACCCGCGUCUGAUUAGCUAGUUGGUGAGAUAACAGCCCACCAAGGCGACGAUCAGUAGCCGACCUGAGAGGGUGACCGGCCACAUUGGGACUGAGACACGACCAAGACUCCUACGGGAGGCAGCAGUGGGGAAUAUUGCACAAUGGAGGAAACUCUGAUGCAGCGACGCCGCGUGAGUGAAGAAGUAAUUCGUUAUGUAAAGCUCUAUCAGCAGGGAAGAUAGUGACGGUACCUGACUAAGAAGCUCCGGCUAAAUACGUG